Molecule: ribosomal RNA, 427 nt
Filed under: uncultured Subdoligranulum sp.
Lineage: Bacteria; Bacillati; Bacillota; Clostridia; Eubacteriales; Oscillospiraceae
Description: bacterial SSU rRNA
Rfam family: Bacterial small subunit ribosomal RNA
Source: RNAcentral
UGGGGGAUAUUGCACAAUGGGGGAAACCCGUGAUGCAGCAACGCCGCGUGAGGGAAGACGGUUUUCGGAUUGUAAACCUUUGUCUUUGGUGAAGAAGAAAGUGACGGUAGCCAAGGAGGAAGCCACGGCUAACUACGUGCCAGCAGCCGCGGUAAUACGUAGGUGGCAAGCGUUGUCCGGAAUUACUGGGUGUAAAGGGAGCGCAGGCGGACCGGCAAGUUGGAAGUGAAAACCAUGGGCUCAACCCAUGAAUUGCUUUCAAAACUAGCUGGCCUUGAGUAGUGCAGAGGUAGGCGGAAUUCCCGGUGUAGCGGUGGAAUGCGUAGAUAUCGGGAGGAACACCAGUGGCGAAGGCGGCCUACUGGGCACCAACUGACGCUGAGGCUCGAAAGUAUGGGUAGCAAACAGGAUUAGAUACCCUGGUAGU